CCUACGUGCGGCAGCAGUAGGGAAUCUUCCACAAUGGGCGAAAGCCUGAUGGAGCAACGCCGCGUGGGUGAAGAAGGUCUUCGGAUCGUAAAACCCUGUUUUUAGAGAAGAAAGACCUUGCGAGUAACUGUUCACGUUUCGACUGUAUCUAACCAGAAAGCCCCGGCUAACUACGUGCCAGCCGCCGCUGUAAUACGUAGGUGGCAAGCGUUAUCCGGAUUUAUUGGGCGUAAAGGGAACGCAGGCGGUCUUUUAAGUCUGAUGUGAAAGCCUUCGGCUUAACCGGAGUAGUGCAUUGGAAACUGGGAGACUUGAGUGCAGAAGAGGAGAGUGGAACUCCAUGUGUAGCGGUGAAAUGCGUAGAUAUAUGGAAGAACACCAGUGGCGAAAGCGGCUCUCUGGGCUGUAACUGACGCUGAGGUUCGAAAGCGUGGGUAGCAAACAGGAUUAGAUACCCUUGUAGUC
RNAcentral lists this ribosomal RNA (465 nucleotides) under uncultured bacterium. RNAcentral's name for it is "partial 16S ribosomal RNA". It matches the Rfam family "Bacterial small subunit ribosomal RNA", at positions 338 to 795 of the family's 1533-position model. The record is from RNAcentral.